CACAUAUUGGAUGAUGACUGUCACAUGCCAUAUUCUGAUUGGAUGUAAACUUCAUGGAAGAUGAAAUGCAUUGUUAUUUUCAUUGACCAAUCAGAACAUGACACGUGACAGUUAUCAUUC
Non-coding RNA from Glycine max (soybean), 120 nucleotides. The record is from Rfam. Lineage: Eukaryota; Viridiplantae; Streptophyta; Magnoliopsida; Fabales; Fabaceae.